UAAUACGGGCUUCGAUAAUACAUCGCACACGAAGGUGAGAUAGCAGAAGCACAAAUCACAUCCCCGCCACCUCUGCUCCCUUCCUCAGGAGCGAUGCCUACACAAGAAGAGCCUCCACAGCAGACCCGUUUGCUCUUGCGUCGCACGCUGAGCACCCGAUUUCCCCUUAUUCUUGGUGAGAUGCGGCUGCCCAGUAUGGCCCCUAGUCCGAGCAUUCCCUAUGAUGUGCUGCUUCGCCGCUACGUGGACCUGCGCGACGCGGCCCGAGAUCUGAUCUCUGCCGACCCGAGGCAGUCGCUCAAUGUGCACGACACCUAUCUGCGUCUCUGUCAAGCCCAUGGCUACCCGCUAGACAAUCACUACCUGGGGUACCUCGCUCGAUACGCCACGGUGCAAGCCGCUAUUACGAGCGGCUCAGCCCGAGAUGUGGUGGACAAGGUGCGUCAUCUCGAUUUUCUUCCCACCUAUGUUGGCAAGCUCGCGUGGAUGCCCAUCUUCGUUACCCUCUCCGACUGCGUUCUCCUUCACUCUUUGUCACUGUCGGGCCAGCAGCUGGACAGUGAUUUAGUGCUUCUCCUUGCCCACAGCCUCCCUCCUCUUGUGCAACUUGCCUGCCUGGACGUAUCUGGCAAUCCGAUCGGCUGCACCGGUGUGCAGGCUCUCAUACGGCUCGUGAAGUCCUCUCCCUCUCUGACGCAGUGCAACAUACACGGCUCUGCAUCGAUUGCACCUCUGACAAGGCGGCUCGAGGCCGCAUUGGCUCGCAAUCAAGAGCGCACAUCUCCGACAGCGGUGGCGAGCCAGUGAUGGUGCCGGCAAUGUCAGCAGCGCACGGGUGUACUUCCUGUACAGCACUCGCUCCUCUCACGGCACGCCCAUGCGAGGAAGGGCUACCGUCUGUCGAUGUGCUUGUAUGUUGUGCCGUCCUUUCUUUGUGUACUGCUCUCUCGCCCUCGCGACUUGUAUGUCUUAUUAUCUGAUCUUUCUUUUCCGUGGAACUGGAACGACUGCGCCGUGGCCUCGUGGAGGACAUC
This 1034-nucleotide unclassified non-coding RNA is filed under the name Leishmania donovani. Its description in RNAcentral is "gene:LdHU3.34.5440(CDS-product:hypothetical_prote in_conserved)". Lineage: Eukaryota; Euglenozoa; Kinetoplastea; Trypanosomatida; Trypanosomatidae. The record is from RNAcentral.